Molecule: ribosomal RNA, 375 nt
Filed under: uncultured eukaryote
Lineage: Eukaryota
Description: bacterial SSU rRNA
Rfam family: Eukaryotic small subunit ribosomal RNA
Source: RNAcentral
CAAUAGCGUAUAUUAAAGUUGUUGCAGUUAAAAAGCUCGUAGUCGGAUUUUGGCAUCAUGCCGAACUGUCAGCCGAUUGGUUUGUACGGUUUGGCGGGUGCUCUCCUUCCGGAGGCUCGUUUCCUCUUUCAUUAGAGGGUUCGAUGGUUCCGGGUCUUUUACUUUGAAAAAUUAGAGUGUUCAAAGCAGGCCUAUGCUCUGAAUAGGUUAGCAUGGAAUAAUAAUCUAGGACUUCGGUUCUAUUUUGUUUGGUUUCUUAGUACUGAAGUAAUGAUUGAUAGGGAGUAGUUGGGGGUGGCUAGUAUUGUAGCGGCCACGAGGUGGAAAUUACUUGGAUUCGCUCAAGACUAACUUAUGCGAAAGCAUUCACCAAGG